AAAAUCCGGCGGCUCGUUAUCCCCGAGAUGUGAUGACGAGGUCCUACGCGGACCGAAGUGAUUGACGCCCCGCUUCCAGGAAAAGCCUCUAAGCUUCAGGUCACAUUGGACCGUACCGAAAACCGACACUGGUGGGCGGGCAGAUAAUCUGCCAAGGCGCUUGAGAGAACUCGGGUUAAGGAACUCUGCAAAUUGAUACCGUAACUUCUGAAGAAGGUAUGCCUCCGACGGUGUAGGGAUUUACUCCCGAAGCCGUUUGAGGUCGCAGGUAAUCGGUGGCUGCGACUGUUUAUCAAAAACACAGGACUCUGCGAACACGCAAGUGGAUGUAUAGGGUCUGACGCCUGCCCGGUGCCGGAAGGUUAAGUGAUGGGGUUAGCCGCAAGGCGAAGCUCUUGAUCGAAGCCCCGGUAAACGGCGGCCGUAACAAUAACGGUCCUAAGGUAGCGAAAUUCCUUGUCGGGUAAGUUCCGACCUGCACGAAUGGCGUAACGCUGGCCACACUGUCUCGACCCGAGACUCAGUGAAGUUGAAAUCGCUGUGAAGAUGCGGCGUUCCCGCGGCAAGACGGAAAGACCCCGUGAACCUUCACUACAGCUUUACACUGAACUUUGAACCUUCCUGUGUAGGAUAGGUGGGAGGCUUUGAAGCCUGGGCGCUAGCUCGGGUGGAGCCAACCUUGAAAUACCACCCUGGGAUGUUCGGAGUUCUAACCUUGGCCCGUAAUCCGGGUUGGGGACAGUGUAUGGUGGGUAGUUUGACUGGGGCGGUCUCCUCCCAAAGAGUAACGGAGGAGUGCAAAGGUACGCUCAGCGCGGUCGGUCAUCGCGCUCUAGAGUGCAAAGGCAUAAGCGUGCUUAACUGCGAGACGGACAUGUCGAGCAGGUACGAAAGUAGGUCUUAGUGAUCCGGUGGUUCUGUAUGGAAGGGCCAUCGCUCAACGGAUAAAAGGUACUCCGGGGAUAACAGGCUUAUUCCUCCCAAGAGUCCACAUCGACGGAGGAGUUUGGCACCUCGAUGUCGGCUCAUCACAUCCUGGGGCUGUAGCAGGUCCCAAGGGUAUGGCUGUUCGCCAUUUAAAGUGGUACGCGAGCUGGGUUCAGAACGUCGUGAGACAGUUCGGUCCCUAUCUGCCGUGGGCGUUGGAAACUUGAGGGUGAGCUGUCCUUAGUACGAGAGGACCGGGAUGGACGUAUCUCUGGUGUUCCGGUUGUCACGCCAGUGGCACUGCCGGGUAGCUAUAUACGGACGGGAUAACCGCUGAAAGCAUCUAAGCGGGAAGCCCCCCCCAAGAUUAGGUUUCCCUGGGAACUCGAUUCCCCUAAAGGGCCGUCGCAGACUACGACGUUGAUAGGCUGGGUGUGUACGUGCAGCAAUGCAUUGAGCUAACCAGUACUAAUUGCCCGUGAGGCUUGACCAU
This 1420-nucleotide ribosomal RNA is filed under the name metagenome. Its description in RNAcentral is "bacterial LSU rRNA". It matches the Rfam family "Bacterial large subunit ribosomal RNA", at positions 1537 to 2925 of the family's 2925-position model. The record is from RNAcentral.